CCUACGGGCGGCAGCAGUGGGGAAUAUUGCACAAUGGGGGAAACCCUGAUGCAGCGACGCCGCGUGAGUGAAGAAGUAUCUCGGUACGUAAAGCUCUAUCAGCAGGGAAGAAAAUGACGGUACCUGCCUAAGAAGCCCCGGCUAACUACGUGCCAGCAGCCGCGGUAAUACGUAGGGGGCAAGCGUUAUCCGGAUUUACUGGGUGUAAAGGGAGCGUAGACGGCAUCACAAGUCUGGAGUGAAAUCACGGGGCUUAACCCCGGAACUGCUUUGGAAACUGGGCGGCUGGAGUGCAGGAGGGGUAAGCGGAAUUCGUGGUGUAGCGGUGAAAUGCGUAGAUAUUAGGAGGAACACCGGUGGCGAAGGCGGCUUACUGGACUGCAACUGACGUUGAGGCUCGAAAGCGUGGGGAGCAAACAGGAUUAGAUACCCUUGUAGUC
RNAcentral lists this ribosomal RNA (440 nucleotides) under uncultured bacterium. RNAcentral describes it as "partial 16S ribosomal RNA". It matches the Rfam family "Bacterial small subunit ribosomal RNA", at positions 338 to 795 of the family's 1533-position model. The record is from RNAcentral.